UACGAAGGGGGCUAGCGUUGUUCGGAAUUACUGGGCGUAAAGGGCGCGCAGGCGGCCGCGCAAGUCAGCUGUGAAAGCCCCGGGCUCAACCUGGGAACUGCAUUUGAUACUGCGUGGCUAGAGUUCGGGAGAGGAGAGUGGAAUUCCCAGUGUAGAGGUGAAAUUCGUAGAUAUUGGGAGGAACACCAGUGGCGAAGGCGGUUGGCUGGAGCGUUGCUGACGCUGAGGCGCGAAAGCGUGGGGAGCGAACCGG
RNAcentral lists this ribosomal RNA (253 nucleotides) under uncultured bacterium. RNAcentral's name for it is "partial 16S ribosomal RNA". It matches the Rfam family "Bacterial small subunit ribosomal RNA", at positions 524 to 776 of the family's 1533-position model. The record is from RNAcentral.